Long non-coding RNA from Astatotilapia calliptera (eastern happy), 2746 nucleotides. NCBI's taxonomy places the organism in Eukaryota, Metazoa, Chordata, Actinopteri, Cichliformes, Cichlidae. The record is from Ensembl.
AAAUAGUUCUACAAAUCUGAGCUGUUGGUGUGUCCUUGGAUUGUGUGGUAAUAAUAUUAGAGCCUGCAAGCUUUCUUACUGAAUCUCUACUAUGAGUCAUGUUACCUGAGAUUAAUUCUAUGUUUACCUGUCAGCCUGGACGAAUGUGCUGUGUGAAGGAAAUUAAAUUAAAUCAGAUCUGAACUGCGUACAUUUAAGGAACCUGUUCAUAUUUAAUAUGAACCAGUGAUUUUUUUGAUUGCUGAUUCCAAGAGAGUCUUUGUGGAAAUCCUGUUUGGCUUUUUGUUAUUUUAAUUCUCUUCUCUGUUUUCCAGAACAGUUCUCCACAGUCACUGUCCACAUGGGUCAGUGGCGCCAAGAAGCACUCUGCUAAUGUGGGACUCUGACCAGCAACAUCCAGCAGGACCCAGACAGCGUUUUCUAUCUCCCAGCUGGAGGUUUUGUUUGUCUGUAACUGGAGAGUCAGAUUUUUGUUGAGCUUCACACUUGCAGAGGUUAAUACACGCUACCGAUCCCUGAUAGGAGAAUCAUCAAUUUUGGCAACAAAGAAGCCUGGUGGAUGUUUGUUUACAGUCUGAUGGUGGGACAUCAUGCUCUGCAUCUUCAAAGUUUGCCUCCUCAUUAUUAUUCAUACCCAGUAAUGUGAAGUAUGCUCAUAUCUACUAUAACUGAACCAACCUGGUGCUCUUCAUUUAUGGAGGCUGUUGAGUCUGAAUGUUGGAUGUUGUGUAUCUCGUGUUCUCUGGGCUUUGUUGUCCUCAGUCUUUUCGCAGGAUCAGAAAACAAAACCAGGAGGCGCGUAAAUGUUGCUUCUCCAUGAUGUUUCUUCAAAUGUUUCUUCUGGAUGAUGAUAAGACUGUGACACGGGAUGCACCUUUGGUCUUGUGAUGAAGCAAAGCUCAGGAAGAAGUGGGAUUAAAUGGUACCCACAUGUGUGCUGCUGAGAAGGAUGUACAGGGGCACCUGCAGCCAAAUCCAAGCCUCAGGUUAGUUGUAGUUGCAGAAUGCUAUAGACUGAGACAGCUGAGGCAUCAAAUGUUUGAUUAAACGGAUGAAAAAGAGAAGUUUCUUCCCUAUAAUUAUCACUUCUUAAAAUCUGUAGCAACUUCAAGUCUGUCAGCGUGCGGAGCAUGCUCAGAAUGUGACAAUAUAUUUUUGUUCAAUAUUUAAUUUCUUUCAGUUGCAAUUGGUAAAUGAAAAAAAAUAUUUUCUUAUAAUUUAGCAAACUAAUUUAUCAAAAAAAAAAUAUAUACAUAUAUCUGUAUUAGUUUUAAUAAAUUAAUUUGACACCUGUAUGGAAAAUACCAUAUUGUAUUCAUACAGAAUCAGUUUGGUAUCAUUGUUGGUCUGCUCACUGAUUGUUGAAGCUAAGAGCUGCUUUGAUCUGUUUAGAUCUAAAGUAUCCAAAGUUGAGCUCUGAUGUUUCUUCACCCCUGUGUGUGUGAUAUGUGAUUCCUACAUGCUGGCAGAGCAGAGCAGCAGUUUUUGCUGACAGAUGGUGACGGUGUGGAGAGACGGUGGUGUUUCCUCAGAAGAACCAGCAGAGUCACUUGCUGACUGAUGCUCGUCUGCACUGCACAGAGGAAAUCAGCUGACCGAGGAGUGUUUCUGAGUGAGGGGGAGAGGAGUCAUCAUCCAGGUAAAGUGACGUGGAUCAGUGGACACACUUGUCUCCCCUUUAAAGGAGACGAUCCAAGUCAUCCUUAAAUAUGGGCAGCAUAUCAGUCUUGGACUGUCUAACCUGCCGGAGCAGCACUGAAUGACCACCACACACGAGCAUGUUCCUGCAACAUUCAGCAUCUGAUCCUUCAUCUGUGUGCUUCUGCUUUUGUGUCACAUGUCAAACAGCUGGAGAGGAAACUACACCAGUGUACUGGGAUGUUUCACCAACACACCAGAUGCUGUUCCUUCAUGGUGACAUCACCAGAGACAGCCCCGCCCACCUCAGGACCUCGCCAUUGAUCAUGAUGAUUAUAAUGAUGACAGCGAGCGGAACUAAGACUGUAAAAAUCCACGACCAGAAUGUUUCUUUCUAAUUAUGAAUGAAUACUGAGAGCCUCUUUCUGUGUUUUGUCUGUUUUGGGGUUGUUUUUUUUACCUCAUUUGUUACUAACAAAGUUCACAAACUCACACAGUUUACAUUCUGCAUGUUUCCAUCUUUACCAGCCACACUCCAACUGCAUUUAAGAAAAUAAUCCUUAGAAAUCGUCGUUUUUCUCUUUUGUAAUUGAUGAUAAUUCAGUGAAUAUACUGCGCUGCUUCCUUUUAUUGCGUCGCACAUUGCUUUAAGUUUUUCAGUGUCCAGUUAUUUUUUACUGCUGUUUGAAUUCUCUGUAUGUUUGACCCUGUAGACCAUAGGUGUCAAACUCUGGCCCGUGGGCCAAAUUUGGCCCGCAGCCUAAUUACAUUUGGCCCGCGAAGCCAUACCAAAUUACUAUUAGAGCAGGCCUACUGGUAUUAUACAGCUAAUAUAUAUAUUGUUUAGUAUUAGGCUUUGCUUGUUCCAUAUUCAGUUUUUCAGCAAAACUUGUUUGAGUCCAUAACAAAAGAUUCAUUCUUAUAUCUGGAGGAAGAUUUUUUUUCAAUAAAUAUUAACGUUAGCCCGCGACUUUGUUCCAGUUUUGAAUUUUGGCCCACUGUGUAUUUGAGUUUGACACCCCUGCUGUAGACUGUUUGAUGGACUGCUUGUCUUCCUGUUUGUAACCGCCGCCUGUUUUUUAAUAAAGAUUUGGAUUUCUGACUUCAA